This is a non-coding RNA of Myotis davidii, 81 nucleotides long. The record is from Rfam. Lineage: Eukaryota; Metazoa; Chordata; Mammalia; Chiroptera; Vespertilionidae.
AGGCCAGAAGAGAGAGGCAGGGUCUGAUCCGCAGCCUCCGUGGCAGCUGUUGAUCAGCCAAUGUCUCUCUCUUUCUCUCCG